This 306-nucleotide ribosomal RNA is filed under the name Triticum aestivum (bread wheat). Its description in RNAcentral is "partial small subunit ribosomal RNA". The record is from RNAcentral. Lineage: Eukaryota; Viridiplantae; Streptophyta; Magnoliopsida; Poales; Poaceae.
AUGUUUUUUGGGGUGUACUUUUUAGCCCUUGGUUUCUCGCCUGGGGCGUCAGCCAAUCCUGGGUCCGCCAUUGACAAGCAUAGUGAAGGUAAACUAGCUGAUUGGACUGUUGGUCGUACGAGCAGAGAUUUUACGGCGGAUGGAGUAACUGGACCGAGAACCAUUUUGGCUUGGCACACUGCGACUUGUUACCUGGAAAUGGGGCAAUCGAGGAAUGAAAAUUGGCUUGAUGAGCACUCUGUAGAAGAAGGGAGUGAGCACUCUGUAGAAGAAGAGAGAGAGAGAGAAACUGGCGGUAUAUUAUGA